GACGAACGCUGGCGGCGUGCUUAACACAUGCAAGUCGAACGGAAAGGCCCUGCUUUUGUGGGGUGCUCGAGUGGCGAACGGGUGAGUAACACGUGAGUAACCUGCCCUUGACUUUGGGAUAACUUCAGGAAACUGGGUCUAAUACCGGAUAUGAGCUCCUGCUGCAUGUUGGGGGUUGGAAAGUUUCGGCGGUUGGGGAUGGACUCGCGGCUUAUCAGCUUGUUGGUGGGGUAGUGGCUUACCAAGGCUUUGACGGGCAGCCGGCCUGAGAGGGUGACCGGCGACAUUGGGACUGAGAUACGGCACAGACUCCUACGGGAGGCAGCAGUGGGGAAUAUUGCACAAUGGGCGGAAGCCUGAUGCAGAAAAGCCGCGUGCGGGAUGACGGCCUUCGGAUUGUAAAACGAUUUCGCCUGUGACGAAGCGUGAGUGACGGUAAUGGGUAAAGAAGCACCGGCUAACUACGUG
RNAcentral lists this ribosomal RNA (468 nucleotides) under uncultured bacterium. RNAcentral's name for it is "partial 16S ribosomal RNA". It matches the Rfam family "Bacterial small subunit ribosomal RNA", at positions 28 to 507 of the family's 1533-position model. The record is from RNAcentral.